UACAGAGGGUGCGAGCGUUGUCCGGAAUCACUGGGCGUAAAGGGUGCGUAGGUGGCUUGGUAAGCGUGUGGUGAAAGUCCGGGGCUCAACCCCGGAUCUGCCGUGCGAACUGCUGAGCUUGAGCAAUGUAGAGGGAGGUGGAAUUUCGGGUGUAGCGGUGGAAUGCGUAGAGAUCCGAAAGAACACCAGUGGCGAAGGCGGCCUGCUGGGCAUUUGCUGAUACUGAGGCACGAAAGCGUGGGGAGCAAACAGG
Molecule: ribosomal RNA, 253 nt
Filed under: uncultured bacterium
Lineage: Bacteria
Description: partial 16S ribosomal RNA
Rfam family: Bacterial small subunit ribosomal RNA
Source: RNAcentral